Molecule: transfer-messenger RNA, 397 nt
Filed under: Odoribacteraceae bacterium
Lineage: Bacteria; Pseudomonadati; Bacteroidota; Bacteroidia; Bacteroidales; Odoribacteraceae
Rfam family: transfer-messenger RNA
About the family: Bacterial tmRNA, also known as 10Sa RNA or SsrA, is named for its dual tRNA and mRNA-like properties. Its role is to liberate the mRNA from a stalled ribosome. To accomplish this part of the tmRNA is used as a reading frame that ends in a translation stop signal.
Source: RNAcentral
GGGGUAGACGUGGAUUUGACAGCAUGAUGAAUAGGUAUGUAAGCACGUCGGGCGUGGUGAGGCUGGCCCGUUAAUCCCGGACACAAAACAAUAAUUGGCGAAAACAAUUACGCUCUCGCUGCCUAAUCGAAUCACAGUAGAGAAGGCUUAAUCCCUACCCGGCGGGCGGGGACGAGACAUUCCACCGGGGGUCCCGCCUUGUACCACCCGGGUUCGGGGUGCAGGUAACACGAGGAUAGCUCGCGUCAGGCCCGGGGCGCGAGUGAAAUUCAGGAGCUAAGGCGAUGCUUGGGUGCUUUUCCCCGUGUAGCGCACGAAAAACAAUGAAAAGAUAAGCGUGUAGAAAGCAUAUUGAUUCCAUGUUUGGACCGGGGUUCGAUUCCCCGCUACUCCACGA